Molecule: long non-coding RNA, 477 nt
Organism: Brassica napus (rape)
Lineage: Eukaryota; Viridiplantae; Streptophyta; Magnoliopsida; Brassicales; Brassicaceae
Exons: 2
Source: RefSeq, a predicted model, not a curated record
UUCGAAAUAGUAUAUAUUUAUUAUCUAUAUAUAAUAGCAAAUCUUUUUUUAUCUAACUGAUGACAUCAUCAUUUUAUUAUAGGAAAAAAUCAAAAUCUAAUGGUGAGAAUCGUGUAUGUGAUAUAAUUUAAUGGUUAAGGUUUUGGUUAGGAACAAAAGAAUGACGUACUAGAUUUACUAUAGCAAUCGACGGCUUCAUCAUACCUCCUCACAGGCGUCUCUUAAACAGAUCAUCUGUUUUUUCCUUAAAGGUUGUAUCUUUUCGCACUCAGAUCUUCUAGAUCUUCUGUGGAACCGUCAUCAUUUUCCCUUGACAGUUGUAACUGUUCAGAAGUUUAUAAAUUGAAGAGAUUGUAUCGAGUUGCAGAUUUGUUUCAAGUUUUCUAUGCUUCUUAUCUCUCUCUCUCCUCCGCAUCCAAAUCCAGUGAUCCACGAUUCAGAAGAACUCAAUCAUGAUGUCUAUUGAAUAUUUAUACA